This 253-nucleotide ribosomal RNA is filed under the name uncultured bacterium. RNAcentral's name for it is "partial 16S ribosomal RNA". It matches the Rfam family "Bacterial small subunit ribosomal RNA", at positions 524 to 776 of the family's 1533-position model. The record is from RNAcentral.
UACAGAGGAGGCAAGCGUUGUUCGGAAUCAUUGGGCUUAAAGCGCGCGUAGGCGGGUCCGUAAGUGUGGUGUGAAAUCCCACGGCUCAACCGUGGAACGGCUCGGCAUACUGGGGGGCUUGAGGUCGGUAGAGGUGAGUGGAACUCUAAGUGGAGCGGUGAAAUGCGUAGAUAUUUACAGGAACGCCCGAGGCGAAAGCGAGGCCCUGGGCCGAUGCUGACGCUGAGGCGCGAAAGCGUGGGGAGCAAACAGG